This 116-nucleotide ribosomal RNA is filed under the name uncultured bacterium. RNAcentral's name for it is "partial 16S ribosomal RNA". It matches the Rfam family "Bacterial small subunit ribosomal RNA", at positions 1355 to 1482 of the family's 1533-position model. The record is from RNAcentral.
UGCUGCGGUGAAUACGUUCCCGGGUCUUGUACACACCGCCCGUCAAACCACGAAAGUCACCAACACCCGAAGUCUGAAUUUAUUUCGGCCUAAGGUGGGGGGGAUGAGUUGGGGUU